This 216-nucleotide ribosomal RNA is filed under the name Glomeromycotina sp. RNAcentral describes it as "partial small subunit ribosomal RNA". The stretch from base 44 to 216 matches the Rfam family "Eukaryotic small subunit ribosomal RNA", at positions 690 to 864 of the family's 1831-position model. Lineage: Eukaryota; Fungi; Glomeromycota. The record is from RNAcentral.
GGGUCAGUAGGUUGGUCGUGCCACCGGUACGUACUGGUCCCACUGAUUCCUCCUUCCUGAAGAACAGUAAUGCCAUUAAUUUGGUGUUGCGGGGAAACAGGACUGUUACUUUGAAAAAAUUGGAGUGUUUAAAGCAAGCUAACGCUUGAAUACAUUAGCAUGGAAUAAUGAAAUAGGACGAUCGAUCCUAUUUUGUUGGUUUCUAGGAUUGACGUA